Molecule: ribosomal RNA, 430 nt
Filed under: bacterium
Lineage: Bacteria
Description: partial 16S ribosomal RNA
Rfam family: Bacterial small subunit ribosomal RNA
Source: RNAcentral
UGGGGAAUAUUGGACAAUGGGCGCAAGCCUGAUCCAGCCAUGCCGCGUGUGUGAAGAAGGCCUUUUGGUUGUAAAGCACUUUAAGCGAGGAGGAGGCUACUUGGAUUAAUACUCUAAGAUAGUGGACGUUACUCGCAGAAUAAGCACCGGCUAACUCUGUGCCAGCAGCCGCGGUAAUACAGAGGGUGCGAGCGUUAAUCGGAUUUACUGGGCGUAAAGCGUGCGUAGGCGGCUUCUUAAGUCGGAUGUGAAAUCCCUGAGCUUAACUUAGGAAUUGCAUUCGGUACUGGGAAGCUAGAGUAUGGGAGAGGAUGGUAGAAUUCCAGGUGUAGCGGUGAAAUGCGUAGAGAUCUGGAGGAAUACCGAUGGCGAAGGCAGCCAUCUGGCCUAAUACUGACGCUGAGGUACGAAAGCAUGGGGAGCAAACAGG